This 65-nucleotide transfer RNA is filed under the name Forpus passerinus (green-rumped parrotlet). Its description in RNAcentral is "tRNA-Phe". Lineage: Eukaryota; Metazoa; Chordata; Aves; Psittaciformes; Psittacidae. The record is from RNAcentral.
GUCCCUGUAGCUUAAACAAAGCAUGGCACUGAAGAUGCCAAGACGGAUGCCACCACCCCCUCCCA